UGAACUUCCAAAAUAUGGUGUGAAAGU
This 27-nucleotide non-coding RNA is filed under the name Mus musculus (house mouse). The record is from RNAcentral. Lineage: Eukaryota; Metazoa; Chordata; Mammalia; Rodentia; Muridae.